This 468-nucleotide ribosomal RNA is filed under the name uncultured bacterium. RNAcentral describes it as "partial 16S ribosomal RNA". It matches the Rfam family "Bacterial small subunit ribosomal RNA", at positions 28 to 507 of the family's 1533-position model. The record is from RNAcentral.
GACGAACGCUGGCGGCGUGCUUAACACAUGCAAGUCGAACGGAAAGGCCCUGCUUUUGUGGGGUGCUCGAGUGGCGAACGGGUGAGUAACACGUGAGUAACCUGCCCUUGACUUUGGGAUAACUUCAGGAAACUGGGGCUAAUACCUGCUAGGAGCUCCUGCUGCAUGGUGGGGGUUGGAAAGUUUCGGCGGUUGGGGGUGGACUCGCGGGUUAUCAGCUUGUUGGUGGGGUAGUGGCUUACCAAGGCUUUGACGGGUAGCCGGCCUGAGUGGUUGAACAGCCACAUUGGGACUGAGAUACGGACCAGACUGCUACGGGAGACAGCAGUGGGGAAUAUUGCACAAUGGGCGGAAGCCUGAUGCAGCAACGCCGCGUGCGGGAUGACGGCCAUCGGGUUGUAAACCGCUUCCGCAUGUGACGAUGCGUGAGUGACGGUAAUGGGUAAAGAAGCACCGGCUAACUACGUG